Molecule: ribosomal RNA, 255 nt
Filed under: uncultured prokaryote
Description: partial 16S ribosomal RNA
Rfam family: Bacterial small subunit ribosomal RNA
Source: RNAcentral
AUACGUAGGGGGCUAGCGUUGUCCGGAUUCAUUGGGCGUAAAGGGUGCGUAGGCGGCGCGGUAAGUCGGGUGUGAAAUUUCGAGGCUUAACUUCGAAACUGCAUUCGAUACUGCCGUGCUUGAGGACUGGAGAGGAGACUGGAAUUUACGGUGUAGCGGUGAAAUGCGUAGAUAUCGUAAGGAAGACCAGUGGCGAAGGCGGGUCUCUGGACAGUUCCUGACGCUGAGGCACGAAGGCCAGGGGAGCAAACGGGA